Non-coding RNA from Podarcis lilfordi (Lilford's wall lizard), 73 nucleotides. The record is from the annotation of a GenBank genome assembly. Lineage: Eukaryota; Metazoa; Chordata; Lepidosauria; Squamata; Lacertidae.
GCCAACAUAGCUCAGUCGGUAGAGCAUGAGACUCUUCAUCUCAAGGUUGAGGGUUCGAGAUUCAUGGUGGGCC